GCUUUGCCCUCCUUCCCUGCCCCCUCUUCUAGGGGAGUCAGAUCGAGUUGUAAGGAGAACAUGCCCACUGUCUCGAUGGCUGCAGCGUGCAAUCCAUACAGACGGUGAGGAAGAAAUGGGUUUCCACCCAUGCUGUAGACGAAUGUUUGUGUCCUCCCCAAAUUCCUUUGUCGAAGCUUAACAACCAAUGUGUUUGGUAUUUGGAGAUGGGCCUUUGGUGAGGAUGCAAAGAGAAAGUGGCUGCCUGCAAACCAGGAGGAGAGCCCUCACCAGGAACCAAUCUAGCUGACACUUUGAACUUGGACUUCAAAC
RNAcentral lists this long non-coding RNA (312 nucleotides) under Homo sapiens (human). RNAcentral describes it as "HSALNT0366795". Lineage: Eukaryota; Metazoa; Chordata; Mammalia; Primates; Hominidae. The record is from RNAcentral.